AAAAUUAAAAAAAAAAAACUAGAGAAUAAUAGAGGAGACGUUUCUUAAUUAGGAGUUACAAGAAACGUCUCUUACGCGUCUGUUCUUCCUCCAUUGAAGUUUGCUUCCGAUUCGAUUCAAAACCAUGGCCUCUGUAUCCUAGCAAUCUCUUCCCCAAUCUAGCUUCUUCCUCAUUAGCCGAUUCAGCUCCGAUGCUGGCGUAACCGACGGCACCGGAUCCGAUAUCACCGAAGCUCCGAUCAUAGGCGAAACCCGGAGAGAUGUCGCCGAGAUCCAAAAGGACAGGGAUCAUCGCAGUCAAGUGCGGGAUGACGACGCUCUGGGAUAAAUGGGGAGCUAGGGUUCCGGUUUCGAUCCUCUGGGUUGAUGACAACAUCGUCUCUCACGUCAAAAACGUUGAGAAAGAAUCAUCAUCUUCUCUUUCUCUUCCGAGUUUCUUGUGUUUAUUGUCAGAAUCAUUGACUAAUGAGUUUAGUGUUGUAAAAGGUGGAUGCUUUCACUGGCUCUGCUUUCAAAGGUAAUCCAGCAGCGGUUUGCUUCCUCAACUUUGGCAUCUGCUCAUUGUCUCUUCUCCAACGCUUUGGUUGAUUCAGACAAUGUCGAGUUUGUCACAAGUUCAUGGGAAAGAAGGAUCCUUUUUGAUCGAGUUGAAUUUUCCUGUGGUUCCAACUAGCGAUACCAAUCUCACUGAUGCAUCCUUUUCCAUGAUCACCAAGGCCUUGAACGGAGCUACCAUUCUUGAUACUAAAGCUACUGCCACCAACCAAAGAUGGAUGAUAUAUUGAAAUGGCCUUUCGAUGGCAUCAUCUUCACAGCUGCAGGUUCCUUCUGUAAUCACAAUCAGAUCCAAGGGCUGAUUAUCCUUGGUAGAAUAUAAUGAGUGAUCACAUGAUUUGUACUUGCAUUUGAAUCUGACCUUACUCUGUUGAGCUACGAACAAAGCCUUCCUCUGUUGUGAUGCGAAGACAUUUUGUAUUACUAUUUGCUUGUUUUAUUUCUGCCAUCAUUGACAUUGUCCAUCUUUGAGAGUGUAAACUCGUGUCCAAUAAGUUACUUUAUUAAAGGAAAAUCUUCAUGGCCUAAUGGGUUAAUUAUUCACGUUUUGGAAACGAAUGCUGCCGAUGUCCAUGCUAUAGAUGUUUUCUUUAUUAAAGAUAUUGUUGAGUCUGUUUUGCUUGAAGAUGAAACUGACGAUAAGGGUGCCAAAGAUGGGAAGAAAACUAACCGGACUUCUCGUGAGAAGUCUUUGGUGUCAGAUCCAGUGGUGACGAUGGAGUAGCAGUGGCCAUUCAAAAAAUAAGUCCUCCAGGAAACCGCGACAAAAAAUUUAAAACGAGCACACCGUCGAAUACCAGCAACGACAUGUACCAUGCAAGACGGUCACCCCCGCUUAAAAGAAGGAGACAUGAAAAUGAGGAAGGAGAAGACCUACUUCCAAUAGCUAGAUCUGACACCAUAUGUGAGCUACCACCACCGCACUUGAUCAAAGGAACUGCUGAACACUUCCUCACCGUUUAGAUUCGUCGCUACGGCGGUGGCGACGAGGCACAAAGCAAACACACAGAAAGGAAAAAAGGAUAAGAGAUACAAGAAAUAGAAAGAAAAAAAAAGAGAAAAAGGGAGAAGUAACCGACGACAACGGCGGAGAAAAACAUUGGUCACCUAACCGAAGAGCUUGUUCUAGCUUUGUUUUGAGAGAAACUUAUAGAAAAAAAACUUAGAGAGAGAAAUGAGGCUAGGCUCGCCCUUGCCUUAAUUCCAAUUUAUGAUCUAAUGACCAAACUCGUUCCCCCAAA
Long non-coding RNA from Brassica napus (rape), 1796 nucleotides. RefSeq lists it as uncharacterized. The record is from RefSeq and is a predicted model, not a curated record. The transcript is spliced from 2 exons. Lineage: Eukaryota; Viridiplantae; Streptophyta; Magnoliopsida; Brassicales; Brassicaceae.